RNAcentral lists this transfer RNA (72 nucleotides) under Mesocentrotus franciscanus. Its description in RNAcentral is "tRNA-Gln". The record is from RNAcentral. Lineage: Eukaryota; Metazoa; Echinodermata; Echinoidea; Camarodonta; Strongylocentrotidae.
UUAAGGAGGUGGGAAUUGAACCCACGACAAAGAAGUCAAAGUUCUUCGUUUUUCCAGUUAAACUACUCCUUA